Molecule: ribosomal RNA, 1017 nt
Filed under: Discodoris confusa
Lineage: Eukaryota; Metazoa; Mollusca; Gastropoda; Nudibranchia; Discodorididae
Description: large subunit ribosomal RNA
Rfam family: Archaeal large subunit ribosomal RNA (bases 476-1017)
Source: RNAcentral
AACUUAAAUUUAUGAUCUUUAUAGAAAUCAUUAUUUUAACAAUUACAUCUUUGGAAGAUAAUAAGUUGAUAGGUUAAUAAAUUUUACCUUUUGUAUAAUGGUUGUACUAAAAAUAUAUUGAAUUAUAUUUCCCGAAAUAAGAAGAGCUACUUACCAGCUUAUUUUAGUAACUAAAAAGUUAUGUUGAAAUAUGGCUAAAAGACUGGUAAAUAGGAGCGAAAAACUUUCAAUUCUUAUGAUAUCUGGAAACUCUAGAAAAGCAUAUAGUGCUGUAAAGUGAGAUACAAAGUGAUGAGAUUUUGUAUAGCUAGAAUUAUGAAUUGUCUUUUCUUCUCUAGAGUUAACCCUAAAGAAAUUUAAUGAGAAAACUAUUUAUUAUUUGUUUUAUCUAGUGUAGUAUAGAGUUUUUCUAAGGAUCUACCUCUUAGAAGUAAUAAUGUAUAAAUGAGUAGUGUACAAUAAUAAUCUUACUUUAAUCUAUAAAGAAGAUUUAUAAAGAUUAUCUAACAUAAUUAACUGAGAGGAACUCGGCAAAUAUAAACUUCGACUGUUUAACAAGAACAUAGCCUCAGGAUAAACUUGAUCUGAGGUUAAACCUGCCCAAUGUUAUAUUUUAUGAAUGGCCGCGGGACUUUGACCGUGCUAAGGUAGCGCAAUCAAUUGGCUUUUAAUGGAGGCCAUGUAUGAAUGGAAUCACGGGGUUUAGCUGUCUCUUAGUGUAAUUUAUCUGAAAUUACUAUUUAGGUGAAAAAGCCUAAGAAAAGAAAAAGGACGAGAAGACCCUUAGAGUUUUUCUAAAAUCAGGAUUGUUCCUGAAAAAGUUUAGUUGGGGCAACAUAGGAGCAUUAGAAACCUCCUGUAAGAUACUUACCGAUUUUAAUAAAUGUGAAUAAACUACCUUAGGGAUAACAGCAUAAUUUUAUAAAUAAGUUUGUGACCUCGAUGUUGGACUAGGAAACUGAGAGGCUAGCCGCCUCUUAGGAAAGUUCUGUUCGAACUAUUAUUCCUACGUGAUCU